AAUGAUUACUCCAUAUCAUAAUCUAUAACGUUUUCUUUUUGUAUAUAAUCCAGGUACCGUUGACAAAUGGGGCGUUGUUGUUCAACUUAAAAGUAUACGAAGACCAAGUAAAUGAACAAUAUUUAUCGGCUGAAAACGUAAAUAAAAAACGGCUAAAAACGUAAAUAAAAAAGGAUACACGAUUUAAAUUUAAAAAAAAAAAAACAAUAACGGAGUGAAGUUUAACGGCGAAUCUACCGACCGAACCGAGAAGAUGAGGCGGAGCCGUAUUAACAGAGCUUGCCGGAGAAAACUAUUAUCACCGCUGAUUUACCGUAGACUGUAAGUAAUUCGAUACGGUGCUGCAAAUUCACCUUCUUUGUUGUGAAUUAUCACCAUCUUCACACACUGUUCUUCUUCUUGACUGUAUCAAUGAAUUUUAUAGAUUUUUGUACGAUUUAUCUCGUCUUUAUCAAGAGAAACAAGAAACAUCAUUUGCAAUUAGACAAGUAAUUAUGCUUAUUAUGUAACAUAUAGACAAAGUACAUUUCACUUGCAUACAAUCUCUUCUGUAAUAAUUCUAGUGGUUUCAUAACAAUACAUAUACUAAUUAAUAAUACAUUUUUGGCAACUUACUUAGGUUCCACGUAAUCCAACACAACACCAUCUUCAGAACUUGUUCUUCUUGACUGUAUCAAUGAAUCUCUGCUUUGUAAGAUCGUUUCUUGAGAUAUACUCAAGAAAAUCGUUAAAGCUGAAAUCUCCGUAAGCAGCUGGUUUCUCUUCAUUCACGAGCUGAGGUGCUGGACUUAUCUUCUUGUUCAUUGGCAAGCUGUGAAGGCUCGCGAAAGAGAGGCGGUUGACAUCUUUGUUCACUGUUACUCGAUGAACCACGCUCUUGUAUACGCCAUUGCUCAUCACUUCUACUUGAUCUCCAAGCUGCACUAUCAGAGCUCCUUCUAUGUACGGCACGCAGACCCAGUUGUUGUUUUUGUCUUUUAUCUGAAGCCCCUGGCUGCUUUGGAGUAAGAUGGUCAGUGAGCUAAAGUCAGAGUGUGGUGGCAUCCCCAAGGCUAUCUCGGGUUCUGGACACGCUGGGUAGCAGUUCACGGCCAUGACUUGUGACCCUUCUUCGAUCUCUUCCUGUAAGUAACUUUUCUCCAGGCCUAGACUCUCUGAGAUAGCUUCCAUUAGUUGCUUAUGUAACACAUGCGUUGCUUCUGAGUAUUUCCCCACUUUUUCCCUGAUAGUAUAAGAGGAUAGGUCACAUCAAUUCUAAGUUCUAGAUAGGUUUACGAGUUGUGAAACAUCUACGGAGCAAUAGGAUAUUUCUACUGUUGUGACGGACUAGAGCCAAAUGUCCAUCACUAAAUGUCCAAUUCCUCGCUUAGUAUGAUAUUGAGGAGAAGCCUUCCCCAAAAAAAAAUUUGUGAGGGCUUAUUCCCAAAACGGACAAUGUCAUACUAAGCGAAGGGUUGGACAUCU
RNAcentral lists this long non-coding RNA (1464 nucleotides) under Brassica rapa (field mustard). RNAcentral's name for it is "long non-coding RNA (BRAP_LNC002618)". The record is from RNAcentral. Lineage: Eukaryota; Viridiplantae; Streptophyta; Magnoliopsida; Brassicales; Brassicaceae.